GGGUGGUCCUCUCGCGUCAUGACCGUGGUUAGCCUAUUGGCAACGCCCCUGGGCUAUAAAAACAGGAGCGUAUGCGUCACCUGGGAUGCGUCACUUGGGGGACUGCUGCGUCGUUAACGCGAUCCCGUCACUUCCGGAAUUGGCUGUGUAUUCUCGAGACGAGUCGCUGAUUAGUUUGGCAAGUGCUUCCGCAUUGAUACUGCGUUCAUCUUGGCGAGUGCUUCCGCAUUGAUACUGCGUUCAUCACAACGGUCUAUUCAAAGAGUGUCUGUACAAAGAGUGGAAAAGCUGUGCUAUUUUGAUAGCUGCUGGCAUAUUGUGUCUACCUUCAUUCUCAGCUGUGAGAUCUGAUGCGAGUGCGGAAUUAAGGUGCUCCGUAAGGGCAGCUGUUGAAAGCAACUAUUGUUGUCUGUUCGUCAUAAUUAACCCUGUGUUGAUCGGUAGGUAUUUAUGCAUGCAACCAUUAGGAUGAGAGUGAUUUAAUUCCAACAGAGUUAUAGUCUUGUUUUGUUUAUAGGUUUGGGGACUAUCUGGGUCGGGGUGCUCUCUGUCCAUUUACAGCUGCAGUGCUGUCCUGUUUCCAAAGUUUUAUUUUUAUUUGACUUUUCCUUUUGGGUUAUGCUGCUUUGUUUUUGAUUUAUAUAGUUUGAUUCUAAAGUUGAUUAUUUUGGGUUCUACUUGAAUUAUAUUUGUGAU
This is a long non-coding RNA of Paramisgurnus dabryanus, 696 nucleotides long. RefSeq lists it as uncharacterized. The record is from RefSeq and is a predicted model, not a curated record. Lineage: Eukaryota; Metazoa; Chordata; Actinopteri; Cypriniformes; Cobitidae.